Molecule: ribosomal RNA, 458 nt
Filed under: uncultured bacterium
Lineage: Bacteria
Description: partial 16S ribosomal RNA
Rfam family: Bacterial small subunit ribosomal RNA
Source: RNAcentral
CCUACGGGAGGCAGCAGUGAGGAAUAUUGGUCAAUGGGCGAGAGCCUGAACCAGCCAAGUCGCGUGAGGGAGUACUGCCCUAUGGGUUGUAAACCUCUUUUGUCGGGGAGCAAAAGCCGGACGUGUCCGGCUGUGAGAGUACCCGAAGAAAAAGCAUCGGCUAACUCCGUGCCAGCAGCCGCGGUAAUACGGAGGAUGCGAGCGUUAUCCGGAUUUAUUGGGUUUAAAGGGUGCGCAGGCGGAUUUUUAAGUCAGCGGUAAAAUCGUGGGGCUCAACCCCAUCCAGCCGGUGAAACUGGGGAUCUAGAGUGUGCGAGAGGUAUGCGGAAUGUGUGGUGUAGCGGUGAAAUGCAUAGAUAUCACGCAGAACCCCGAUUGCGAAGGCAGCAUACCGGUGCACAACUGACGCUCAGGCACGAAAGCGUGGGUAUCGAACAGGAUUAGAUACCCCAGUAGUC